GCUUCCUUCCCGCCCCUCCGCCGCGCUCUUCUUCCUUCCUUCUCCAGUCCCUUCCACUGUGCGUCUUCUGUCCCCCGUUCUUCCCCAGCGGACCCCUCUUUCGAGACUCCCUAGUGGGGUCCCCAGCUCCCGGGCGAUCCUGCCCUUGCCGAGCGCGUUUUCUGGAGUCACCUGGGGGAGGGGAGUCCUGGGCAGGGCCGGGCUGGGGAAGACGCCUGGGGCACUGCCCGGCGUUAACAAAGGGAGCCGAUACCGACCGGCGUGGGCGCGGAGCGGGCGGCCGCCACCGAGCGUGCUGAGCAACCGCAGCCUCCGCGGCCGAGAGUGCAGCGAGAAUAAAUACCUUACGUACACUUUAGAUGAUCAGGAAAUCUGGCACCUGGAAAAGAACUGCAUGUCCCAGGAGGAUGGUUGCAAGGGGAGAGCCAGUUGCGCAGAGCCCUGCAACCAGCAGUCCAGGGAGAAGUGGUGAAUGUCAUGGAGCCCAGCUGAAAUGGACUGGCCCCCUUGAGCCUG
This 516-nucleotide long non-coding RNA is filed under the name Homo sapiens (human). RNAcentral describes it as "non-protein coding lnc-ADIPOQ-3:1". Lineage: Eukaryota; Metazoa; Chordata; Mammalia; Primates; Hominidae. The record is from RNAcentral.